Cyprinus carpio (common carp) is the source of this 1947-nucleotide long non-coding RNA. Lineage: Eukaryota; Metazoa; Chordata; Actinopteri; Cypriniformes; Cyprinidae. The record is from Ensembl.
AAAGCAGACGCAGAGCUACAAAAUGGGGUCUCAACACGCGUUUUCAAAUUUGAAACUUCAAACUUGAAACGGCGUUCAUGACGCUCGAUAUGCGACACAACUGCAGGAGUGUCUCUCUUACAAAUAAUUACUUGAACCGAACCCCCCAAAUAAGUAUGCCUUUUUAUUAUUUUUAUUAUUUAUUUAUUGCAAAAGAUAUGUUUCAGCAAACAUAAAAGUUACAAGUGUGUCUUGGCAGCACUUAAAAAAAAAAAAAAAAAAAAAAAAACAUAAAUAGACGCUAUUUAGAAAAAAUCGCGUUAAUCUGUGGUGGUAACCAUAGAAACAGUACGCUUCACUAUGAUGUGAUCAACGGCAAUAUCGUACGGAAUGUUAACAAAACACGACGAGAACUUAUAUCUCUUCACAAUUAUAUAUACAUUCAGAAAGUCUUUUAGAUAACCAUUUGCUUUGCUGAACUGUAUCAUAUUCCGCUUCGAACAUGUGAUAUUAUAGCCUACCGAAUCAGUGGCCUCAAUUUAAACCAAUAUAUCGGCGAAGUGUUACAACGGGACAGAAUGAUUGUGCGGGUCAGAGCAGAGGACACUGGUCUCUCAAAGGCUCCAGGACAAAGAUUUUUCAUGGUGUCCUUCUGCUACAGCAUUCAAACGCCACUGUAUUUGAAACAGCUGCUGCAAUCGAUGUCCAAACCAUCUGAAUUCUGCAUCAGAGACUAUCUGUCAUGCUGUAAUAAAUGCACUGUUGAUCAUCUUAAGUUUGAGACUCUUCUCCACGUGUUCGUCCUUUAGAGGCAGAAACUUUUUUCUUAUCAUCAUUUUAAGUGCCACAAACUUGAAUUUCUCUUAGAUCUGAUGGCAUGAAGCUUGCAAAUCAGAGACUAGAUCUUCUGAAGUGUUGUUUUAGCACCCUGGAAAUAAGUUGGAAUGAUAAAAACCAAUGCAGCCUGACUGCUACAGAUUGCUCAAGAUGGCCAAACAGGGCAUAACUUGGUGUAUUUUAUAAUUUUAAAUUAUAUUUAAAAAUUUUUAUAUCUAUAUACACACACACACACACACACACACAUAUACAAAUAUAUAUAUAUUUUCAGAUAUGGUGGCAUGAAGCUUGCAAAUGCCAUCAAAUUCAGAAACUUGCAUUUUUGUGUGCAAUAUGCAUUAACCAGUCAGUAAACGAACUGUCGGAUGUACUAUUUAAGUUUGUAGAUAAAGUUGUGUGUGUCUGAGACUUUAAGUCCCUUUAUGCUACUGACUUUUCCUGGCCUCUUUAAUUGGUUCGACACUCCCUUUGGCUCUGAAAGUUCUGACACUAAAUACAAUACAAGAGGAGGCCAGCUGAGAUGUUAAGAGAUUUCUGUGCUAAAAAGUAAUUACUCCCUUUUAAUUGCAGUAAUUUGUCCAGUUAAUUAGGAAUUUAGUUAAAGCAGUGUGUGAUUCAGAUGUAGCUGCUGUUUGUGAGGUUGUUAAGGUGUUGUGCUGUUUACCUUCAUGGUGAUUUGACAGGGUGACAAAGCCACAGUUGGACUUUACAGCUCUUCCGUUGCUACGGGAGACGUAUCUCUGGAUCUUCCAUGCCGUCAGAGCUGUUCGCACCAGCCCAUCCCCAUAAUCCGAAACAGAGAUGAAAAAUGUGUGUUUUAGAGCUCAGUACAAACACAUUCAAACUAUUUACCCACAUACAAACACUCAUUUGCAAACAGGCUGUCAAUGCUUAGUAGCUAACCACAAACCAGAUAAAAUCUCUUCCAUGGUGAGUUUUGAACAUGAUUUUUAAGCACCCCCCCACCCCCACCAUGUUAUUAUAGUAUUUAAAGCAUAUGAAUGUUAAAAAAAAAAAAGCCUAAAAGAUGCAUUGGACCAAUAUUUUGGCUUCGCCCACUAUGUGAAUAUUUCAACUAGCUCUUGGUGUGAACAAACCUUAAAUAAAGUGAAUUCACAAAAAAUAUGACCA